This 258-nucleotide long non-coding RNA is filed under the name Apteryx rowi (Okarito brown kiwi). RNAcentral describes it as "lncRNA (ENSARWG00000017857.1)". The record is from RNAcentral. Lineage: Eukaryota; Metazoa; Chordata; Aves; Apterygiformes; Apterygidae.
GGAUGAUACAUAUCCUUUAUGUGCAAAAAAGUCUACAUUUUAAUUAUACAGGGGCUGCUGAAGGCUCGCUGGCCUUGGCCUCUUCUCGUCAGGCAAGUCUCCGUGCUGCUGAUCGUGUGGAUGGCGCGGUGGAUGGAGAUGCUUCUGCCUGUGCUGUCUGCCCGCGAGCUGCUGGGGUGGCCGGGUGCCACGGCGUAAAACCUGCUUUUGCGGAGCUGGUGUAGGAGAGGUAACGUCUAGGUGAGGGAGGGCAGAUAA